Long non-coding RNA from Acanthopagrus latus (yellowfin seabream), 11962 nucleotides. RefSeq lists it as uncharacterized. NCBI's taxonomy places the organism in Eukaryota, Metazoa, Chordata, Actinopteri, Spariformes, Sparidae. The transcript is spliced from 3 exons. The record is from RefSeq and is a predicted model, not a curated record.
CUACAGCGCCGAUUUUGGAAAACGGGGCCGUCUUUAUCCAGAGCUGAGUGAAGUCCAAGACGGUUCUCUGGAGGUCAGCCUCACUGAUCUGCGCACUCCUCUUGACAACAAAGUAAACAUACUCAGAUGACUUUUGUUGUGGAAAGUUUAAUGCAAAACUAUAAUCCUUGUGUGUGUGUUUCGAAUUACUGCAUUAAACAACAGGGAUCAUACCCCUCCUCCCUUGAUUUACCGGUCUUCGCUGCCAUAUUUAAUGGCCUGGAGAGAACAACAGCAACUGUAAACAGAAAACCACAAAAAGGUGGCCACCCGCCAUACUUGUGGAAAUAAAUUCUGGAAGCGGCAACAGAAAAGAAAAUACACAGUCAGAGUCGAGUUUCAGCCGUCCAUAAAUUCUUAAAAACUGUGCGUAUUUCAUUAGGAUCAGGGUUAUAUAAAACUGCCACGAUGGGGUCAAUGUUUAUGGAUCUGAAAGUGAAACGGUGCACGAGGGACAGAGAAACAAACCGUCUAAAUACAAAAAAAAGCCCCAGCAUUUCCAUUAUAUGCAGGUCAUCUUUUUAUGUAAUGCAAACUAACCCCUGCCUUGCAUUUGCAUCGCGGCCAGCCCGCCUCAGUAUAAUAUUUCACAGUUGUUUAACCGACGUUAUGAGGUUUUAUGGAAAUGCAGACAAACAGACAUGUACGCCGGAUGAUUAAUGUCUCUCCGGCUGCAUAUUGACGCUCGCUUGCCUUCACAAAUUCUGGGCGAGGCGGAUCGGUUUUCCAAGCAGUGGUUUAGGUAUAAAUAUCACAAGAUUUUUUUAUUUUUUUGGUUCAUCAAUGAAGUGAUCUCUCCAGUUGCGCGGCACACAGAGUACAGCGGUUAUUUUUCCAGCAUACCAGCAUUUAGUCAUUUUAGCCCACUUGAUGUUCCUCGAAACAGCGUGUGGUGAAAGUGUGGAGAGAGCGAAUGACGGGACUGCCGGGAGAAUGUGGAAAAAAAACUUGUCAAUGUAAGCAUUUCUUCACGGUGCACCUGAUGGAUUUCAGUACCAUUAAUGGCUUUAAUUAUGAGUGUUGCUGCUUUCACAGCUGGUUCAUUAGGCUGCGAGUACAUCAUGUUCAUCAGAAUCAGGAGGAUUUACGGCCUCGUGUUUAUCUAAAAUGCCUCCAUUCACCCGAAUAUUAACUGAGAUAUAAACUGUAUUUCCUGAGACAUUAUGAGCUUACUGUAGCGCGGCAUUCUAUACCUACCUCAGUAAUCAAGUGACCAUGAAGUAAAAUAAGUCAAAUCUACAGUCCGUCAUUGGUCACCGUUCCCGCUGCCUCUCCUUAACGUGAUUUAUAAGGAGAAGCAGAGCACAAGCAUGUAAUUUUGUGCACUUUGUGAAUCAUUAGCCCCACUGAUUGAUCUGAAGUAGGAUUUAUAUGGCAUUUACAGGAUAAAAAUGUAGCUACUCAAAAAGGUUGUGUUUUUUUUUUUCCUCGGUUGAUGAUUGCUCGCAGUGUUUGGGGAUUUAAGUACAGUUUCAGCUGAGAUUGAAACCGACCAUGAAGCUUUUAAAAGAAUCAAAAGGAAACCGCUGUGAUGAAAAUUGCUCCCUGGGAGCGGCUGGAUGAGGCAAGCUGCUCGCACUGGUGGCUUUUUUUUCCUGCAGGGGCAAUUUCCAGACCUGCUGAUCCUGUGUGGUCACCGCUCCUUAGAGCUGAAAAACACAUUGAUGAGGCAACUUUGAUCCUCGCUAGGAACAAUUAUCGUCCACCUGACUUUGAAGACGAGUAAAGCGCUUCAAAGAAUGGGUCAAGAAGAACAGGUGUUUUGGCUUUCUUUGGGUUAGAUGAGGAGAUCUAACCACAUUUCUGUUCGUUACAGUGCUGCAGCCGUUGAAAGGGAGGCGAGAGGUUAUUAGCUUAGCAUAGCAUAACGACUGAAAGCGGGAAGAGCAGGUUUAGCCUGGCUGCACCUUCUCAACUGACACAUUCACACAUUGAGUCUGAUUCAGUUCAUGUGUACGCAAAAAUACAAAUAAUGUAACAGGCUGUGGUUGUUCACGAGGCUACGUGAUGGAACAACUUCUAGACAAAUGGCGGUUGUGACUUUUGUUGUCAUCGUGACUUCCUGUAUGAUCAUAACUUUAUCGGUGUUUCUACAUUUCACAACAAAUAUACAAUGUGUUAAUUUAUGAGCUUUGCAGAGCCAGGCUAGCCGUUCUUCACUGCUUUAGUUCUUUAUGCUAAGCUAAGCUAAUAGCUCCACCUCCAUAGUUAAAGCACAGUAAGUGGGAGUUAUUCAUUUGUUAAUUUGUUCCAGUGCAUUCGAGUCUGUGGUUGUGUCUUUUUGCAGCAUGUUUUUAAAAUGCUAUACAUGUUGUCAAACUGAUGAAGUUUUAUUACUUUGCUUAUGUUCUGACUUUUUGCAUGUGUUUUCUUGAGAUUGCUGCAUGUUUUCCCUCAUUUGCCAGUGCUGAAGAAAGUGUUUUCUCAAACUUGCAACACAAAUUACCAGGAGAAUCGGAGUCGUUCAAACAGAAUCCUCUUUAAAAAAUACUACUCAAAAGGUUCUGGUCACCAUGGGAGAAGCUUGCAAAAAACAUCUGUGUGCUCCUGACAGAAUCUGGUCCCGGAGUCCAACCUCAAAGCUCAACUUGGCCCCGUAACAGAUCACGGACAUUGUUGGGAACUAUCGCCAAGUGUUGCACAAGACGGAUUUAUGAGCUAUCUUUUGUCCAAGCCGGAGCUUGUUGAUGCAGUCCACCAUGUGUCCACCUACUGUAAACCUUAAAAAGGCCAAGAAAAAGAAAAGAAAGCAGGCCUGUAGCAGCACAGUGGGAAAAGCUAUUAGUCCCAUUAUUGUUCUGACUGCGUGCCAAGUCUAUAAUGAGGUGAGACGAGACCCACUGAGUUCCUAAAAACUGACAAAUGAGUCUUGAUCUAGCAACUGUAAAUCCCAUGUUUGCGUUUAUGUGUUGCCAUUUAUUUUCCAGAAAGUAUAAAAAUGUCUCCGCGGACCUUCUCUUAAGCUUUUAUAGUCCCGACGGUGCUGAAAUAAAGUGGCACGACUCAGCCUCACAGCCAAGAUUAGGCCCUAACGAGCAGAAAUCUUAACACGUUCAGAGUUUUGGAGGUACCAGGGGGAAAGUCGAGAACGAACGGGUGACUGUCAACAGGUGCUAAAUUACAGGGCUGUGGUCAAGAGAUAUUUGACACCUUUCACCGAGAAGUGGUUUGAUCUACGGUGAGGAGGAUGGAGGUUUAUGGAGGCGGGAGACGCCUUCAGCGCUGCAGAGGAGACAAACGUGAUUUACCGACCGUACACAGAAGAAGUUGUGGAGGCCGGGGAAACAAAGAGGGGAUUGUGUCUACUCAUCAUUUAUUGAGGUCGGGGAGGAAAAGCUUUCCAAACCGCACAAAGUGUAAAUAUUUAACCAGCAGCGUUGGACAUAUUUCUGUAGUCUAUUUUCUUACUCGGUGACACAACUUGGACAACCAAAGCACUGAACUGCAGGAGGGAAACGCAGCAUGGGGCUCUUUAAGCAACUGGUCUUACAGUAGUGCAAGAUAAAACAAUCUUAUUUUAGCUUUAGCUGCUUUUGAUUCUUUUGGCUCCCUGGGUGGGGCUUAACAUGCUUCAAACGCAGACAUAUUCAACAUGUACCCAGACUGCACACAGAUCCUGCAGACUAAUAGAAGAAACGACCGUAGUGCGGUAAGCGUGAAGACACUGGUGAGACGUCAGCAUUUGAGUCGCCUUUCCAACAUAACACACCGAUGUCUGCAAGACAUUCUCUUUAGACUCUGUUUUGGGUCUCUAUCAGCUUCUGAGGGAAUCACUGGUCUGUUUAGCAGCUAAAUUCUCAUUUUGAUUACUAGCUAGUUGGCAACUUUAUCUGUCUAUGGCCUGCUGAAGACAACGCUAUGCUCAGGGUGAGAGUGAAAACAGAAAAGCACUAUCAAAUUACGCUUACACAGCUGUUGAUUUAAAAAAUAUUUAUCAGUGCAGCUUUAAGAACAGAUCAUGUUUAGUGCUGAGUUUGCAAGAGGCAAAUACCUCUUGAUUGAGAAACGGGGGCCAGAAAAAUAGCAUAACAGAAAGUCACGAUACAAAGGCAGUUUUUCCAGAAUGCAGCAGGAAACAAUUAGAAUCAGUGCCGAAACACAGGAACACCACUAAAAAGCUAUUAAAACAUAUGGUAUUGUUUCACAGUCUCACUCUGCUUGAACUAAUCUUCUUGUGCUCUCAUUCCAAAUAAUAUCCCACUUUCCGCCAUUUCUAUAAAGCGAUUGUGUGAUUGCGGAAAACUGGAGUCAUGCCUUUUUAGAAUAAAACAUCCCUUCAGUUCGGUCUAGCGUGUCUUUUUUUCCCUGCGUACCAUCCAGCUAAUGAGUUCCAGCCACUUUUGACGGUAAGAAUUGAAGGUGACGCUGCGUAACACUAGCAAAGAAACACAUUCGGAGUGUGUUAACGAGGAGCAUGAAGGUAGGCAGUUUCUGUCAACAGGCAAAAUAUCAGCCACAGUGAGAGAGAGACCUGACCGUGGAGCUCCUGCCACACAUUCGCAUUGUUCAGAGUGAAAUAUGAUGUUUCUGUCUCAGGCAGAAAACAAAUUAUGUGACAGUGCAAACGGAUAGGCCAUAGGCAAAUAAAUCUUAAGGCACCAAAUGGGUCUCAGGAGGAAUCUGGGAGGCUAAUACAGCAGUGGCAAAAACCAGAUGGUGAUGAUGUACAGGCACUUCCACAAGAAGAGGAGAAUAAUCCUACUUGACCUAUGAUGUAAAGCUAGGUUUAGUUACCGCUUUAGGUGGAAACACUAAGCCAGUUAAGCGCACAUGCUGAAUGAAUACAAACAUGCUUUUUAACCCAUUCUGUAGAAUUUCUGUCACAUUUUUUGGGGUGUUUGGAAGGUUAUAAUGUUAAAACUAGCUUUCAUGCCUACUGCUUACACGCUUGAGAGAGGUGCACUGUAUGUAAAUGAUACCGAAUUGUGACGUUUCCGAAGAAAACAGAACCUGAAGGACAGGGAAAAUAACAAAGCCCAGUACAAAUCACAAAGAAGCAAACUGGUCUCUCGGUGUCUAAAAGGUGGCGGUGUGAAUAAAACCCACAGCCACCCACUGAUUCUAUCAAAAUGAUGGAUGAACAAAAGGUAUGGUGCAAAAAACCAAAGGUGAACUGGGAGUUGCUGAUCGGGGUUGAUCGAAACUGGCCAAAAGAAAGAAAUCUCAAACACACUCAACUUCACCCAAAACAGAAAAUGCAGAGAGCCAACUGAUGGUGCUGACUGGGCAGGAAAGCUGCAAUCCCCUUUAUAUAGUCCCUGCUGACUGAUUGCAGCCAGCUGAGAGAGAACAUCACAGGUGCACCCAGUAGCCUGUGAUUACCUGUGACCUAGAUCCUGAGAUAUCCCUGCUCACAUCAGGACCUUGGAGAAUCUCUGAUCCGUCUGUAACAGUACACAUCGUUAUUCAUGAAAAUGCAGCAUGAAUCUGAUCACACUUGACUAAAAGCGACUAGACGGGGAUUUUUUUUUUUCAUGUCUUUAAAAGGAAAUGAUCACACGUCGUCCGCAGAAACACGCGGCCUGCUCAUUUCCUGUUAUUGAGGAACUCACUGUUGCCAUGGCAGCGGACACAACCUUCCCCAACAAACAGUUACCAGUUGCCAAGGAAAUUGCAGCUUACCGCAGUGUUUAUUUGUUUGACCUUCUCUCUUCCGUCUGAAUAGUUGAGCUCGUGCCAGGUCCCAGCAUUAAAUGAGCCUUAAUGAUAAUGGUUUACCGUAGCGCAGUGGGUUUAAGUGGCUGUUUUCAGUGUGUACAAUCUGACUGGUUUUUAUGGGACUCUUUUUUUUUCUUUUUUUUUUUUACAAACAUGUCUGCAGCAAUAUUUUUCUUCCGAAUGGUGCCAAAUUUGGGUUUUCCUCCCUUGACGGUUCCCAUGAAGUCUAACAUGCUUGAAAUGUUCUUACACCAACCGACAGUGUUCGGCCAUGCAUCUGUUAAGUGUGUGUGUGUGUGUGUGUGUGUGUGUGUGUGUGUGUGUGUGUGUGUGUGUGUGUGUGUGUGUGUGCAGCGCAUGAGAGCAUUUGUUUUUGAUAGAGAGGCCUCAACUGACAGACAUCCAAGUCAAACAAGGCUUGAACUUGGCCCCAGUUCUGACUUCUUGCACAGAGGCUCUGGAUAUUCAGAUGUUCAAGGCGAGGCAGAUAAGGUUGAAGUAUAUUUGUACAGCGACUUUCAGCAGCAAAGCAAUUUAAAGAGCUUUACAUAAGACAUGAAAAGCAUAAUUUUGAAGUUAUCUAAGCUCUGUGUUUGGCAAUAUUGAUGGUUGGAAUUUCUUCAGCAACAGACUAAAACACACAUGGCGGCCAUCUUCCUCAGACAUGGCAUGACAUCAAAUGCUCGGAAAAUAUUUGUCUGCUGUGUUCCUGGUUGCCAGUUGUGUAAACACAGGGAAUCUGACAAAUUGUUAUCAUUUCACCACUUCCUGCUUGAUUUGCAAACUGAGAAGAUAACGGCGCAAUGGUGAAUUUAUGGAGGGACAUCAGGCCAUAUUUCAAGGAAAAACAUCAUAUUUGAUAACCUAUUAGGUCAAUUCAAUUUUAAAUAACUGAGCAAACCUGCACGAUUAACUCAAGAUCUGGGUAAUUUUGUACCCUGCAAGUGAGCAGCUCGCAUUGGAAUGGACGGGGCUCUGCUUCCAAUGCUGUAUCCAGAUUUCCCUCAUUGCAGUAUAUCCAUGUUCUGACCGUUGCGUCAGAGGAAAAUGGCCGCCAUGUUAAAUUGCUCUCAUAUGCACAGGAGAUUUACAGGCGAUGAAGCAUUGAUGGAAGUAAUUUGACUCAUCAGUGGUUUAUAUUCCAACUCUAGCAUUCUAAAACCAUUUUUCUGACGCAGAGGAAAACCAGUGCAAACACAUGAUGACUGCAGUGAUGUGAUUCUGAAUAAACUGCAGCCUCUCGGCCGGUCCUGUAAGGAUGCCAUUGCAGCAGCACAAUUUAAUGCUCCAGAAGAGCUGAUCAGCAGGACGUUGUGGCCACACGUGACAGCAUUUCUACAGACUUAAUUGGCCAUCAAAGCCAAAAGAAUCUUCCCUGCGGUCGCCGGGACACAAGCACUCACUCAACAUGACAACACUGACGCUCAUGUCGGCCAAUCAGGAGCCUGCGAGAGGCCGCAGGGAUCUGUUUGCGAUUCAUUCAGCAGCAGACAGUGGGAAGCAUGUUCAAACAAGCUAAGUAUAACUCAGGGCAUUAUUGAUGAAAGAGAAGGGACAACUCCAUGAUGAUGUGACGCAAGACAAAUGAGUCCACAAACAUGUCAGUGAGCUGAGUGAUUGUGAUCUUCAGGGCAAUUGAGGAAAGUCUUUAUGAAAGGGAACAGUGUUGGGGUGUGGACAGUAUCAAUAUUACUCAUGUGCAUAUGUCAUUUAUCCUCAUCGCUCUUGCUAUAUGUCAUUUUAGGUCAAAAUACAACACAAACGGUACUGGAACAGAUUUUUAGUUCCUCUGAUUAUGAACGUAUUAGUACUGAUGACAUUUGCAUACAGGGCAGGACUAACCAAAAAAAAAAAACUCUGACCUCUGAUGUGGGGAUAAGCAAUCGAUCCAGAGACGAUUAAUCACCACAGCAACCAUGACAAAGCACAGAUGCUCUGGCGGUUCCCCGUCCAGCUGAAAUCAGAGGAAACUUAUGUGGAGCGUGAGGUAACGAGAGCAUCAAAGGCGAGCUGAGAUAAGAGAGCAGACAUUGGGGGAAAAACCUGGAGUGUGUCGGAGAGAGGAAUAGUGUGCGAAUGUGUGUGAACCUGUGCGAUAUCCACUGUGAAACAAAUGGGUGUGUAGAAGAGGGGUGUCAGUGUCGUGUCACUGAAAGUGUUUGUGCUUGCAGAUUGGUUGAUUUUCAUGCUUAAGCAAUUCAAGAGUGAAAGGAUUAGGGAAAUACGAAUGUAAGGAUGGAAAGGAGGGAAUGACGGUGGGAAAUAGGAGGUAAAAAAGGGGGGAGCAUGGUUUGGUUUGUCAGCUUAAAUGUUUCCUGAUUUAUUUUGUGGAAUCCAUCCUCAUGCUUCUUGUAGUGACUCUCCACUUCCUGUCUUUGUCUUUUUCUCAACCUUUCUCUGUGUACACAUAUGCAGCAUUUGCUAAUCAGAAAAGUUCAUCUGGUUUCCUCCUGUUGAUGGGUCAUCUGCGUGUCCUCACUUGUCCUCUUGUGUGCCAGUUUUUGUCCCUGGUCAUAUUCUGGUUGGUUCUAAGCUCUUAAUCUUCUUCUAGUUCUUAUCUUAAGUUCUAUUCUUAAUUUUUCCUUUUAUUCUCUUUUGCCUUUUUGGGAUUCCAGUUUUGUAAAUGAAGCUCGCCUUUUGUUUCCGAACCUACCUAACGUUACACAUCUUGAGGUAGAAAUAUGGACCAUGGAGUCUCUGGUUCCCCAACAACAAAUCCAGUUCUGAUACUCUACUGUACUUUUAGCUCGGAUUUGGUCUCUACCAUUUCCUUUGGGAAAUAUCUUGUUGUUAAGCUUCCAAAACUCAUUUUCUGCCUCUUGAUUUCACUCAGUGGUGUAGCUGGCUAAUCGCCACAGCUGGAAACAAGGUUAUCAGGAUCAUGAAAUGCUUCAUACUCAAUGAAAACUGACUACAUCUACAGUGGAUACAUGUUGGUAUUAGAAUGUUUUGUUUCUGAGUGUGUGUAACUGAGGCACUUCCCUCUACGAGUCGGCAGCUUCAUUGAAUGGACACAGUGUCCUCCUCCAACAGGCUGUGGUCCCUCCUGGCUUCGUGCUCUUCCAGCCUCGCCUCCUCCUCCUCCUCUGGGUCUCCAUCUGACAGAGCUGUACGAGUGAUGGACGCCACCCCGCCACAGCUUGUUUUACUUCCCUCCCUGAUUUCCCUAAAAACAGAUCAUGUUUGCUUGUGUAGCACUCUGCAUGGACCCUGAUCUAUCGCUGUGUAUAAUUAUAGCGCGGCUCGCAUAAAUUCAGUGAAACACAGGAAAUAUUGGCACAAUUAAAACAGGGAGAGCGCGGGUUAUUUUGAGAACCCAUGACAGGAGAUUUAUUGGGCUCAUUUUGCCGUUCUGCAAGUAAUUUCAGAUUUUCUCCCAUUAAUCUUCCUGCAAAUUGAGAGGCCUCUCCAAUUUCCUCCUAAUUUCUGCUGCAAUUUAAACGUCAAAUGAAACAUUUUUAUCUCGAUUCUUGGAUGAUGAACUACUGAUUUUCUCCCCCCAAAAAUAUGAAUGUAGCAGGCUAUGAUGUCAUCCCACUGAAUGUUUUGCUCCCAAAUGUAAAACACACUUUAUCUGACAGUAGCUCACAGUAGCUGCUCUUACAGUAGCUCAUCUGUGUUUAGUGAAAUUUAAGCCAAGAGGUCGAACUGAUGAACUCGUUUUUUUAGAUCACAUGAAUUCAGUGGUUAAAGGUCACUGCAUGUCUGAAUGUGUCUGAAUGAUGUGAACGGAACACAAAAAAGCAGUGUGACAGUCCUUAUAGGGGAAAAUAUGACAUAAUAACACAUUGGGUGCCAAAUCUAGUCCCUGUUUUCAGUUGUAAAUUAUUAGACUGUCCGCUUUACAAGAUUUCAGCGCAGCUCUUUCAGCAGAUUCUGACAGAUGUGACACUGAAAUGCUUUGCAAAGUGCUGCAUAACAAAAGUGAAUACCUUCUAUGCUGAGCUUGGAGAUAAAAACAAUUUAUGGUAAAUUAGUAUCUGUCAGGGCUGUAGCCAGUUUUUCAAAAGUUAUCCGCCAAACCCCUCAGACACUGUGUUAUUUUCUACAAGAAACUGAAUUUCUUGUAUCUAUUACUUUCAGUCAUAAUUAACAAUCCUGAUAGUGGAAUCAACUGACAAAAUCACAUAUGGUAUGUCAAAACUUGAUUGUCGAACGCAAGCUUUUCUCAUUGGUAUAUCACUCCAAUUGCUAGAAAAAAUGUUGCCAAAGUACAUUCUUUAGGUUCAGUUUCCUGUGUUGAUGACGUUGCAGUGACAGUCUGGUUAGGUCACUUGUUAAGGGUCAGAAAAAGAUCACGUUUAGGCUUAAAAUAUCUGUUGUUGUUGCCACAAACACAGCUGGAUAGUUUCUGAGGUCUCCUUAAAAAUAUCCAGUUGUGUCACAAUGUUAAAUGUCUAAACGCCAUGGUUCCUCAUCAAAACAAUACAGUAGCACAUGCAAAUGUUGAAACACGGUCUUGAACAGCGGUCACUGGCUUGGCUGCCUUUCCUCCAAUAUGGAAGUCAGGUCACACAAAUGUAAUGUGCACAUGAUAUCAGAGAUAUUGUUGAGAUGUAAAUUGGGCAUCCUCCGUAUGACACAGAAAUAAACAGUAAACAGCCAGCAUCUUAUUCAUGCCUGUAAUCUUCAGAAAGUGUGUGGCGACAUGCCAUCUCCACUGCACCGACUGUGCACAUUAAUGUCCUCAUGUGGUAGCAGUUUCUGUGCUUGAUUAGUCAUGGAGAACGCGAAAACCUCCAUGUUAAUCUUGUCUAAUUUAAGAGAGGAGGAAUGAUUGCUGAAAGUUGUAAUUACAAGGCAGUAACAGGGACCCAUCGAGGGGGCCAACCUCACGGGCUGGACCACGGGACCCGCGAACAGAGUGCGUGCCGCUGAGGCGCGACUCUCGGCUACCUGGGUGGCUGGCAGAGAUGAGCUCUCUGAUUAGUCUGCAGAGAGAAGAGCAUGCCAUUUUAACCAACCACCCCACGAGGAAAAUUACAAGGCUCUCAUCCUCUAGAAUUCUUGCAAGAACCUGCAGGUAAAUCUGUCGCUGAAAAACCAGAUUGAGAAUAAACCCACAUCCAACCCCAGUCAAAGAUCAAUCAAGGCUAGAAAAAAUGAAAAUGUCAUGAUGGUUACUUCAGUAAGUCAACCUCACAAUGCCUUCGGUAGAGAGCGAAGAGAAGCACCAAAGGUCUGCACUGAACAGACAGACUGACAACAUCAGCGUUUUGUUUGGUUGCCAUGGGGAUUUCAUUAAAGUGCUCUUUGGGGGUUUGCUAUCUUUUAGAAAUCAUUCAACUGUGGCUGAAAAACAAACCCAAACACACUGCAGGUGUGUGUGUGUGUGUGUGCAUCUGCAGCAUGCAUAGACAUAAAAGUGAAGACUAACAGGAUAGCAAACGCCCAUAUGCACAAAAACACAGGCUUGCAGAGACAGAGACCAUAAAGGAGCGACUACUUUUCAACCCUGCUGAUCAGGUCAAAAGUCGGCCCUGGAGUCGGGGUGUGAUCCGCUUGUCUUGUAAUGAUUACACCGAGAAACUCAAUGAGCUCAAAGUCGAAACAGAGUCCAAGUCAAAGAGAUGUGUGACAUCAUCAUCAUCAUCAUCACCAUCAUCAUCAUGUGCAGUCACAAGCCAACACUGCGGCUAUUAUUCUGCUGAAUUUUAAGUCCUGCACCAUUGUCAUUGUUCCAGACAGAUAUUUAAGAAAAGAUAUUUAACAAUAUUAAUAAAAAGGGAAAUGGUUACAAAUGUUUUUUUUUUCGCUUUUAGCUCGUCACCUGCAUUUUUCAACUAUUUAUCCACAUGCACCCCUGCAAUGCCAACAACAAUUAUAAAGCUCUGUGGACUUGGAUUAUUCAUCAGGUGGGUUAUCUCUGAAUAGAUAGGUGGAGUCGCAUAACAAGAAGAUUACGGCGCAGCAGCAGGGAGAUUGGAGGUCAAACCCUUGGAGAUCUUGCAAAGGACAGAGCGACCUACACAACACAUCCCUUUAAGGAGAACCUCAGACCGAUGACCUCUUGUGACCCCCGUGAUCACAUGUGACAGUGUGCUGGGUCGUGGUCGUUCACACGGCUCUGCAGUAGAGACGGAGGAAAAUAAAGUUGCUGACGAGAAAGCCGAGCCCUGAAAAGAAAGAAUGGAAGAAAAGCUUUUGUUACAGAGCAUUCAUAAUUCAGUGUUUAUUUCAUGGAGGCAUUCUGAAGAUUAAUUAGUGGUAAACUAGAGAAUGAACUGCAACCGAGUAAUUACCUGAAUGUAUAAAGUUGCUGAGG